AUUGAACGCUGGCGGCAGGCCUAACACAUGCAAGUCGAGCGGAUGAAGGGAGCUUGCUCCUGGAUUCAGCGGCGGACGGGUGAGUAAUGCCUAGGAAUCUGCCUGGUAGUGGGGGAUAACGUCCGGAAACGGGCGCUAAUACCGCAUACGUCCUGAGGGAGAAAGUGGGGGAUCUUCGGACCUCACGCUAUCAGAUGAGCCUAGGUCGGAUUAGCUAGUUGGUGGGGUAAAGGCCUACCAAGGCGACGAUCCGUAACUGGUCUGAGAGGAUGAUCAGUCACACUGGAACUGAGACACGGUCCAGACUCCUACGGGAGGCAGCAGUGGGGAAUAUUGGACAAUGGGCGAAAGCCUGAUCCAGCCAUGCCGCGUGUGUGAAGAAGGUCUUCGGAUUGUAAAGCACUUUAAGUUGGGAGGAAGGGCAGUAAGUUAAGACCUUGCUGUUUUGACGUUACCAACAGAAAAGCACCGGCUAACUUCGUG
RNAcentral lists this ribosomal RNA (483 nucleotides) under uncultured bacterium. RNAcentral's name for it is "partial 16S ribosomal RNA". It matches the Rfam family "Bacterial small subunit ribosomal RNA", at positions 30 to 507 of the family's 1533-position model. The record is from RNAcentral.